Molecule: ribosomal RNA, 252 nt
Filed under: uncultured bacterium
Lineage: Bacteria
Description: partial 16S ribosomal RNA
Rfam family: Bacterial small subunit ribosomal RNA
Source: RNAcentral
UACGUAGGUGGCAAGCGUUGUCCGGAUUUACUGGGCGUAAAGGAUGCGUAGGCGGACAUUUAAGUCAGAUGUGAAAUACCCGAGCUUAACUUGGGUGCUGCAUUUGAAACUGGGUGUCUAGAGUGCGGGAGAGGUAAGUGGAAUUCCUAGUGUAGCGGUGAAAUGCGUAGAGAUUAGGAAGAACACCAGUGGCGAAGGCGACUUACUGGACUGUAACUGACGCUGAGGCAUGAAAGCGUGGGGAGCAAACAG